RNAcentral lists this ribosomal RNA (373 nucleotides) under Enterococcus faecalis. Its description in RNAcentral is "partial 23S ribosomal RNA". It matches the Rfam family "Bacterial large subunit ribosomal RNA", at positions 192 to 589 of the family's 2925-position model. The record is from RNAcentral. Lineage: Bacteria; Bacillati; Bacillota; Bacilli; Lactobacillales; Enterococcaceae.
ACUGAAACAUCUAAGUAGCCGCAGGAACAGAAAUCAACCGAGAUUCCGCAAGUAGUGGCGAGCGAACGCGGAGCAGCCUGCACGACUAAACCAUCAGCUUAGCAAAACGGUCUGGAAAGUCCGACGAUACAGGGUGAUAGUCCCGUAUGCGAAAAGCCGGUGGCGGGUCUGAGCGUGCGACAAGUAGGGCGGGACACGAGAAAUCCUGUCUGAAGAUGGGGGGACCAUCCUCCAAGGCUAAAUACUCGUGAUCGACCGAUAGUGAACCAGUACCGUGAGGGAAAGGCGAAAAGAACCCCGGGAGGGGAGUGAAAUAGAUCCUGAAACCGCAUGCAUACAAACAGUGGGAGCCCCUCCUUUAAUGGCCUUCGAU